GGGCUCCCGGGGCGAUGCAGGCUGUGUCACUGGGAGCACCCAGGGCCAGAUGGGUGCAGACCGGGGCGGUGACAAUGCCCGAGGGACCCACACGGCUCACACCCACACGUUAACUCCUGGUUCUUCGGAGCUUUUACUCCAGCAAGUUUUGUACCAAGCCCAGCGCUUUUCACGCAUUACCAAAUUCGCUCUUCCCUGGAAGUUUCGAUCAGCCAACAACCAAUUACUGAGCAUCUACCAUGUGCUAGGCGCUGCGGAUGCAGAAUAUGUGCCACAGCCCCGCCUGCAGAGGACUCACGGUCCAGUGCUCACAGGCGAGCCAAGAAUGGCUAUAGCGCGGCGUGAUGAGACCCCAGCAGCUCCAGGCACCCGGCCGCCUUUGAAGAAACAUCUGGCAAAUGCGUGAAAGCCACGCUCGUGACAGGGAGAAGAUAAAGUUGCUGGAGAAGGCACGUUCCAGUUCUCCUCGGGCGUUCUUCACAGAGGACGUCACACACUGAGCCGGGCCUUGAAGAUGAAGUGCUCCUCUCCGUGGGGAAGGGAGGCGGGCGUGCCACGGAGUGUUGGCCCCACGCCCAUCCCUCGGCACUGGUGUUUCCGUGCACGCCAGCCCCACCCAACGGCCGGCUCCAGGAGCCCUGUGUCUGAGGGUUUGUCCCACCUGGGCUUGCUCUGCCCUCUCCAGGGGCAGACAGGAAGGGGCUGGGGGCGCUCCCUCCCAGGAAGCCGGGAACUGCCAACACACAGGAGCUGGGCAUCAAUACCCCGGCUCUUUCCCGUCUCUGGCGGAGAACUCGGAGAUGCGUCUGGGAUCUGCCACGGCCUCCAGUGGGCUGAGGCCCGGCCACCCGCGGCGGGAGCUGCCACUGAGGAUGCGUCCUCUAUGGCUGCCUUCCUCCCUCGCUCCUUCCUCCGGCUCCCCAGCCAGGGCAUCCUGCCCGCACCAAGUAGACUUCUCAUCUUGGGGUCAGCUGCCAGGGGAAGCUGGACCACGACAGCAGGACAGUCAAAGUUUUCUUUGAAAGAAGAGCAGAGAGGAGUGUGGGUCGCUGACAAGCUGCAUUCCUGAAAUGCGGGAAGUGACCCAAUCAAUGAGGAGGCUGGGAAUCUGGCCGUGGCCACCCCUUCUGGCCUGCUUUGGACCAGCCCAGCGGAGAAUGUUAUCAUCCUCAUCUUGCAGACAAAGCCUCCGAUGCCCAGAGGAGGGGAGCUCACUCGGAAACACAGAGCCGGCAACCCCUGGCACAUCUCUUGUCCAACCUGGAGCUGGGCAUCGGCAGGAACUGAUCGCUUCCUGCGGCGGGCGGGUCCCGGGAAGGCCGGGGAGGCCCCGGCUGUGAAGAUGGAGGGAACGCCCACGGGCCACCGUGGGGAGACCCAGGGAAGGGCCACAUACGUCCAGCGUCUUGUGGGCGCCAGGGACAUUCCUCACGUAACCUGGCCGCAGCUUGCAAGGUGAGCACGCCUGACUUCACUUGACAGAGGAGAAAAGAGAGGCGUCUGGGAAGGACUUGACCUUCAGCCCGGGUCAUCCGCAGGGUCCUGGGGAGCGUGGAAACCUGGGUCCCAGGGUCCCCGCUGCCCUUGCUUUCAGGGUCAUGUGGGACAAGCCACACGCCCUUCUCUACAGCCUCGAAGGCUCAGAGACAAAAAUGGAGGCUGGGGCUGAACUAGUCAGCGCCUCUCAAGUCGGGCACGUGUGAGAAUCCUCGGCAGGGCUUGUGAGAGCAGAUGGUGGGGCCCACCCAAGUGAUGAAUCUCUGAUGCCUGGGGUCAUGGACGCGGCUCCUGCGUGCGUCUUUCUCGUGAGUCCCGGGUGAGGAUGCUGUUAGUCCGGGGACCACACUUUGAGAACCACCGGGUAAGAUGAACUCAGACCCCUGUGAGCAGCAUCCUGGAUGGUUUCUUCCCUGUGCCGCUGUGCCCUUGGGCCACCCCGCCAUCCGCCGGCCCCCUCGAGUUCUCAGGGUGUCUGGGAAGCCCAGAGGUCCGAGCUUCAGACUGUGGACUCUACAGCAACGGGGCUGUCUUUCCGCAAUUCAAAUGCAGCGCAGUGAAAAGAUGACAGAGAGCAUCAGGAUCGAUACUCCCGUGAAGAACCGAGGGCAGGGCUGGCGGGUGGCCGUGGGGGUCGAGGUGACAGCUCCCCGGAAGCCCCGGCCCGCCCCCAUUGGGUCGCGGGAUUCAUGCUGCUUCUGCCAGGCUGCUCUGAUGGAUUGGCUCCCCCGGGGGACCCUCCUGACUUGCCGUGGGUAAAUAAAGCCUUUAUUUCCCAGGCCGGUGGGGAAAAAUUUCAGGCCUUCAUAAUUAAGUGUCUGGGUGAAGGGCAGCUGCCGAAUUCUGGCGCUGGGUGCCCGUCAGGCCGGUGAUGGAUGGGCACAACACAUCAUCCCCCCGGCAGCCGGGCUGUGAGCUAUGGGGUCGUAUAUCACGGCAGGGCCGUGUGGCCCGCACCGCACGCGGACGCAGGCAGCCCCACCUUGGGCCUGGGUGGGGUGAAGAGAGGCCCGGGCAGGCCGGGGGUGACAGGGGACCUCUCCUGAUCGCUCACGGGCAGACGAGGAAGCUGAUGGCCACCGCAGCCUGGGCGAGCCCCCAGGCCUGGUAUCUCCGCCGCCCAUGGCCUUCCCACCCACCCGGUCACUCAGGACAGAUUCGGAAGCCAAGCUCAGUUCUGCCUCUUUCCUGACUCCUUCCAUCUAACCCGUCCCCAACGUUCCUGCUCAUUCUGCCCCUAAAUGGCCCUGGAACUCACCUACUUCCCUCCAUCUCACAGUUGUGUCUUCAUCCAAGCCACCACCUCUGUCUCCCUCUUGCUCUGCUCUCCCAGUUGGUGGCACGUCAUCCCUCUCCCUCGAAAGUGGCCAAGUCUGGGUCUCCAGAAGCCUCGCAGCUCCCACUCCCUCUCUCAUUUUUCUGCCAUCGCUGUGAGAAGGACGUGCCCAGGCUAGCCCUCUGGUCCUGGGGGGAGGAUGAGGGACACGUGGAGCAAGGAUCUUCCAGCUAAAGAGCCUGAGCCAAGCCCACCCACCGGCUGACCCCCAGAUGUGUGAGCUGUAAUGACAGAUGGUAGUUCUUACACACCACCACAGUUGGGGGCUGUUUGUUACACAGCAAUAGCUGACUGAUACAUGCAGCCACUGCGUGAUGUGAGCCCUCCGACCUCUCCAAUCCCGUCUGUUACCAUUCUCUCCGUAAAGACUGCUCUUCCCUGCCUCAGGGCCUUUGCCCGUGCUGUGCCCACCCCCUGGAAGCCUUUUUCAUGGUUAUCUUCUUUCUAUUCUUUAGGCCUUGGGAUAAAUGCCACCUCCUCAGAGACACUUUCCAAACCAUUCUAUCAAAAAGAGGUUUUGACAUUCUCUAUUUCAGUCUCCCAUUUAUAUGUCCUUUGUGAAACAGAAUUUUUUUGGAAUUAUUUUAGUUUUCUCUCCUCACUUCCCCUACCCCUAACUCUAUUUUUUGCCUUGAUCUCCUUCUCAGCACCACGGGCCUAUGAUGGCAGGGGCCAGGUCUCAGGUCUCUUGUUCACAGCUGUGUCCCCAGCACUGAGCUUGCUGCCUGGACACAGUGGGUCCCCCACCAAUAUGUGUAAGUGGAUGUCACACAGUGUGUUCACAUGGCACCGAGCUGACACCAGGUGCUUGUGGCUUCCUGUGAGCCCCUGUGUCUGGCUGAAAAUGCCUUUCGAUGUGAUGGGAAGGCCAGAACUGCUGCUGGGAGCACCGGGAACAAGGGGACACUGGGUGUGGGCUCCACCAGGCAGGUCAGGGACACAUACCUGGCCUGUCACCCUCCUUUCCCCACAGCUCACACUGUACCUGGCCCAGAGCUGGCUCCAACCCUAUAGGAUCCGAGGAUGAAAGAAGAGGGCUCCUCCCUCAGGGUGAGAUGGCCCUCCAGGGGGUCGUGGGCCUUUGAAGUGCUGAGCACAUUGCAGAGGUCACGGCCCUGGGAGGAGCUGCGUCUCUGUCCCGGUUCUGUGGGACACUAAUGCCCUCCUGGGCUUCACAAAGUUAUUCAUUCUCUUUCCUGCAGACCUUUUCAGAGCCUUCAUAUGCUAAUGCACACUGAGACCCCUGGAGGGGAUGAAGAAUGCCUUGCUGCCCAGCAAUUUUGGCUAGAAAAUCCUUCCAUCAGGGGCCGCCUUGUGGGUUCCUGGUCUGCGGGACAUAUUAGCCUGGAAUAGGGUCCCAGACUGCCCUGUAGGCCAAAUCUAGUCCUUAGAUAUUUUUCAUUUGGUCCUUGUAGGGUUUGGAAAGUCAGCAACUCUGACUAUUUUAUAAAAAGAAUCUAAAAUUCCAGCUUCUCUAAAGGACCAAGAAGAGGUGGGCAUUCUGGGGCCAUAUUCUUGCAUGACAGUAGCCAGGGGCAACUGAAGAGCCUCCAGUUGCUUCAGUUUGCUGUAGUCCCCACCCCUCCCUACUGCCUCACACUCUAUUCUCUUUAUGCAUUUCUUUUCCCUGUUUGGCCAUAAGCCUCUGAAUUUGUUCCCUGUGGCCCAGAAUGUCACGGGAGCUCCGGAAAGCUGGCUUUUGCCCUGGAAGGGAGUAUGAAGGUCUGACUCUCCUUACUGCUUGGCGCAUUUCCUGGGGAAAGGAGGGACCCCGAAGGAUGGCUCUGAGGAAGGUGUCUGGGCCUGUCUGGGGAUAGAAGAUGGCUCCAAUGACAGCCCCACCCUGGACAGGACAAAGGGACAGCAAGAUAAAAGGGACAGCUCAGAUUUCUAGUCAGAGGUCUUUGGGCUGUGGGGACAGAGGUCGGGAGGCUGGUGGAAGGGGACGAGAGCUGAGCCCAGUCCAUAUCUCCCAGCGGCUAAUUGUUUUCCCUCCUUCUUGCCUGAGAGAUCAGGGCUGGCGGAGCUGGUGGGCCGGAUGGGGGAGCCCUGGGGCGGUCAGGAGCCACCCCUGUUGACCCAGGGCUGCGACUGCCAGCCUGGGGGCCUGGGGCUGCCAUUACCCUGGGCACAAGGGUGUGGGUCGAAUUCCAGGGUCCCUGUGGCCAGAAGUUCUAACUGCAAGAGGUAUAUUAUUACUCUGAUUAUUUCUCGAAGAGCACGACCAGAGCUAUAAUUUGGAGAUUUUGGUACUAGGCGCUGUGUUCAGUCUUUCGAAUGCACCAGACCCCAGGUUCUCAAAGUAUGGCCCGCGGGCCAGCGGCAUCUGUGUCACCCGGGAGCUUGUUAGAACUGCCAACUUGGACGUCCCCUGGGGGGCCCAGCGGGCUGUGGGCCGAGGAGCCCGCAGGAGGCUCGGGUCUGGUUGGCUGGACUCACAUGGUGGCCAGGGAGGCAGACGCCACGGCGCCUUGAUUCACAGACAAGGAAACUGAGACUUGGGGAGGCGGAGCCACAUGCUGCGGACUCGACCCCUGGCUGGUCUCACCCCCGGGUCCGGGUUGUGCCCCGGUAAUCAUGCAAAUUCGUCUGCUGGCAAAGUGCCUUCUGGCUUCCCGGCCCAGGGAGCCAUCAUGAGCACAGUGAGGGUGAUAAGGGGUCUUGUUCGGUCUCAGAGACGACAAUUUGAGGACCAGAGAGCAAGUCUCCUAGCCCGACUCAGGCCUCUGGGAGGAAGACCCCAAAUUUUCUAGGAGGGACGGCCACGCAUCCCUGAGGGCCUCUGGGGGCUGGGCACUGUCCACCCUCUCUGCAGCCCAUUGGCUGUACCCAUUUCACAGAUGUGGAAACUGAGGAGGGCCAACGGGCUUGUCUGAGGUCUCACAGAUGGCCAGGGCGGAGCAGAGGUUCCCCCUGCAGGAGGCCUGAGCCCGAGUCUGCUGCACGGGCCCCAGUGCCCCCCAGCCCGGCCUGAGCAGGGGGCCUCGGCUGUCACCGCUGGGAAAGCCACACCCCCAGCUCCAUCCCACUGAGACGCGGUGGGAUGCCCGUGGGUUCCGUCCCUGAGGCCUCGUGCUUGCAUUCCCUCUCCUGGGGUGCCCUCCUGCUCCUUGCCUGACUGGUCCCCUCCUCAGUCCUUCAGGAGCCAGGUCCCACAUCCUUUCCGCUCUGCAGCCUCCCGUGAUCCUCGCCAAAGCGGGACAGGCUCCUGAAUGGGGUCAGCCCCGUGCCUUCCCAGAGGCUGCCCGAAGCCCCCUUUCCUCGGGGCCCUGAGCUCUCUGCGGCCGGCCAGGUCUGUCCCGUUCCCCCACCCCUGCCAGGCGUCUUCCAGGCCUGGCUCCCCGGCCUCCGGAUGCCGGGGUGAGGGAGGGGAGCGCCCUGCCCGGCCCCCUAGGGGCUGUGUCAAGUGGCUGGGGCUCCGUGAAUGGCCACCCUGUCUGAGCUGCCCACUGUGCCUCACCCCCGGCCAUGCGAUCAUGUCCUGUGUGGGGCUUAGGUAAUGGGGUGGCGGGUGGUGGAGUGGGGACCCCACGAGGCUGGCCUGGCCGGGCUGCAGGCUGAGCCGACUUUUCCAGGCCCCGUGGAGCGUGGAUUCCUCCCUCCGUCUGGCCCGGCUGCCAACACAAACACGGGGGCUGUCCUUGCGGGCUCUGGCUGCUGAUGCUGGGGUCAGGACCAGCACACGGGGUCCCCUUGGCCUGGCUGUGGGGAGUUAACCCUUUGCACCCAGCUCUGGCCUCGGGCCUGGGACGCCACGGAAGGGCAGUCGAGGCUGGGGACUCAGUUUCCCCCAGAGCUCCACAAAGCUGCUGGGUCCCUGGUGAGGUCGCAGUGCCAAGGCUGGGCCUUGUGCUUCCCAGAAUGUUCCUUGUCCCACGUCCUCACCUGACAAAUGGGGAAACUGAGACUCAGAAAAGAGAAGGUGGGCUUCUGCGGGAGUCCAUGAGCCCCAAUUUCUACCCCGUCUCUGGCCUGAGCGUUGGUGUGGAAGCAGGAAUUCUGGACACACAGAGGUGUUGGAGACCAUCAUGGAUCAUUCUGCCAGGGGGGAAACUGAGGCCCAGAGAGGAAGAGGGGCUUCCCCGAGCUCCCAUUCCCCCUUUGACAGAUGAGGAAACUGAGGCACAGAGUGGUUAAGCCACUUGAUGAAGGGCACACAGCUUAUCCAUAGUGGAUCCAGGAUUUGCUCCCCAACAGCCGCCCCAGGAGCCGGGCUCCCCUUACAGCCACGGACUCCUGCCACCAGCCCCCUGUGAGCAGCUGUGAUUGUCGCCACUGACACGCCCAGAAGGAGCUGACGGAGGAAUUGCAGAGCGAGGAAUGAGCCAGAGCAUCCAGGAAGUGCCGAUCCCCUGCGGGAUGAGCUUGGAGCUGGGAUGAGGGACACACAGGCAGGAGCUGGAGCAACUGGAACAGGCAGGUGGGUCGGCUUAUCGGGAACGCAGGAUUGUCGUGGGAGGCGGAGAGGAGGUGAGUUUAAGGACCUGAGGGGCGGCCAGUGGUACAGCCGUCCCCUGUAAGCACAGGGGGCCACUGUGUUGGGUGAGCCAGGCCACGUCCCAGGUGCUGUCGGGGGGACGGAGGCAAGCCCCAUGAUGACACGCGGAGGGAACCGCAGGCCGGGCGGGGCCUCUCCUCACUUCCAAGCUUAAAUGUUGCAGGAGGAGCUAAGAUGCUCCUUGGUCCCGAGGGUUUCAAGUCCCAGGAGGAGCUGCUGUCUGUCUCCCCGCAGCGCACGGACUCGCCUCCUGGGUGUCUGUCAGCAGAGGUGAGUUUGACGUCUAAUUGUCGGAGGGAAUUGUGGGUCACCUGGUUUUACGUGAAGCAGGAGGCAGGAGGGGGCGUGGGUGCUGAGUCUCCCCAGGGUGCUGAGCUCAGUCUCCCCAGGAUGCUGAGGAACGAAAUGGGGAGAAGAUCGCAGUUGCUGUGACUGGCCCAGGGCGGCUCGGGGAGGCCAGCCCUCUCCCUAGACCCAUGGGACAGGCUGGUGGGGAAACUGAGGCCCACUGGGGCCAAGGGGCCUCCAUCGCAGCGGGUCUGAGAACCUGGGUCUGGGAGGCCUGGCGCCCACAGCCCGCUGGGGGGUUAUCAGGACGACGAAAUCACGCACAGCGGGGACAGCCCCACGCGCCCGCACCCGCUCAUCACCCCGCUCGCUGUCCCCUUGGCACACCCGGGGGCCGCUUUGGGGGUUUGCUGCCUCUGGGGCUGAGGAGCUGGAGCUCUGCUGUGGCCCCAGACUGCGGGAGCCCUGAGUUUAUUUCCCAUAACGGGUUCUCAUGUUCUGGGGUGUUUCCCGCACAUUCCGUCAGCCCAGCCGAGGCUGGAACACGUGGGCCGUGAGCUCACAGCAGUGUGGGCAGAAAGGCCCGUUUCUUCCUUCCUUGCUUCCUUUCUCUCUCUCUUUCUUUCUUUCUCUCUUUUCUUCUUUUCUUCCUUCCUUCCUUUUCUUUCUUUCUUUCUUUCCCCAUUUCUUAAUGUUUUAGGGAGCCCCCUGCUUUCUAUAGAGAAUGGAUGUGCCUGACCUCCUUUGAGGGGAUGGUCGGAAGCAUCUGGCCAAAGUCCCUCGAGAAGGCGAGUCUAGAAAACUGCUGGCUGGGGGUUCAGUGAUGCCAGGAGGUUGUUCGCUGACCUCCUGUGUGCGCCUCGGCCUCAGUUUCCCCUCUGGAAAGGGGAUUUCGACCAAACGCUCUCUGAGUUUCUUUCUGUUUCAGUCACUUCGUGGCUCAAGGUCGACCCCUCCCUCCAGGUCACGGUCCCACCCUGCCUCCACUGGGGCCUCAUCUGUCUGCCCCUCUGUGCCCACCCCCGGUGGUCCCUCAGUCCCCUGUUCGCCUCCACUGCCCACUUUCUCUCGGUUCUGUCCCCACACGGCUGCUCCUCGCCCUGCCUCACCGUCUCCGUGGAUCGUCCAACCCCAGGAGGCAGUGACAAGGGGCCCAGUCAAAGCUGAGGAAACUGAGGCUCAGAGAGGUAUGGACAGUUGUCCAAGGUCACCCAGCCCUCGAUGACCAAGCUGGGACUCACGCCAGGAGCCUGAUCCAGGCCUGCUCCCCUUUUGCAAAUAUUCAAGAAAAAUUCCCUGCUUUCGCCCACCGUUCAUCACUUCUCCCAGUUUCCAAUUUCAGGGUAAACUCAACUAACCAAACCAGCGAAAGGAAAAACACAAUCUCUUGCUACUCCUUCCUGCUCUGCUCCUUCCAGAAGCCCUGGCAUUCUUUUUUGACGGAUCUGCAGGAGGUGGGGGCCCGGGGAGGGCGGAGGGUCCGCCCGCCGACUCUUUGUGGCCAGCUCAGGGUGGGGGCAGCGUCUCUGAGGUCCCCACGGCAGCCCCCUCCGCUCCCCAGGUCUCCAGCUGGCCGAGGGGGGCCUGGACGCUUGUCAAUGCAUCUUAGCAAUUGGAAUGUGCCCUCUGACCUGCCCUCGCCUCCCCGCGGGGCUCCCUGGGAGCCGGAGGGCCCUGGUGACUUAGAAGGUCAGGGGCUGCGCUUUCUAGAACGUGCCAAAGGCUUGGAAGGAGCCUCUGAGCUGAGAGGAAGGACAGGGAGGGAGCUGUCUGAAAGCAAAGGAUGGAAAACUCUGAGCACCAAGAUCUCGGCCGCUUCUCCCCUUCAACUGGAUGAGCACUUUCUGCGACAGCAAAGGGGGCAUCCCAGCCUCCUUCACCCCCCGGCCAGGCCCACCGGCCCUGGGCCACCCCCGCCUGCUGAGGCUGGAGGGCUCCACAGCCAGGCGGGGAGGGCGCGAGUCUCGAGGCCGCCAUUCCUGUGUGUGGCCUCAGCGAAGGGGUCCCCUCACGUGGGCACCCCGUCCUCCUGGGUCUCUCCUCCCAGUCAGGGCUCGGCUCACCGUUUCUGCCAAGGGCCAGAGAGGAAAUAUUUUAGGUGUCGCCACCUCGGUGAUGCUCAGCUCUGCACGACAGGCGUCCCAGGCCAUCUGUAAUGGAAAGAGUGUGGCCGUGUUCCGAGGAAACUUUAUUUUCAGAAACAGGGCACAGGCUGGAUUGGUCCGCCCGCCCUUGGUGCAGAGUCUUGGGAGAGGGUCCUUGGGGUGGCUGCGUUAUGAGUCCAAGAUGGAGAGCAUAGUUGUGUGAAGAUGGCGGGAAGUCGAAGUGAAUGGCCAAACGCUGGGCUUUGGGCAGGCCUGGGUUUCCAGUCCGAUCUCUGAAGCUUGGCUGCUGUGUGACCCUGGGCCACUUACUUCCCCUCUCUGAGCCCCAGUUCCCUUCUCUGUAAAAUACAAGCAAUAAUAAUACCUACUCUCCAAGGUCUGUUGGGAUGAUGACUUAGCAAGGCCUGGUGCUCGGGGAGCCCUCGGCAAACACGUCAUCGUUUACGUCUGUCGUAG
RNAcentral lists this long non-coding RNA (10180 nucleotides) under Equus caballus (horse). RNAcentral's name for it is "lncRNA (ENSECAG00000048055.1)". The record is from RNAcentral. Lineage: Eukaryota; Metazoa; Chordata; Mammalia; Perissodactyla; Equidae.